This 653-nucleotide ribosomal RNA is filed under the name Glomeromycotina sp. AB-2014. RNAcentral describes it as "SSU rRNA". It matches the Rfam family "Eukaryotic small subunit ribosomal RNA", at positions 359 to 1016 of the family's 1831-position model. Lineage: Eukaryota; Fungi; Glomeromycota. The record is from RNAcentral.
GUAACGGGGUGUUAGGGCACGACACCGGAGAGGGAGCCUGAGAAACGGCUACCACAUCCAAGGAUGGCAGCAGGCGCGCAAAUUACCCAAUCCCGACACGGGGAGGUAGUGACAAUAAAUAACAAUACGGGGUUCUUUAGGAUCUCGUAAUUGGAAUGAGUACAAUUUAAAUCUCUUAACGAGGAACAAUUGGAGGGCAAGUCUGGUGCCAGCAGCCGCAGUAAUUCCAGCUCCAAUAGCGUAUAUUAAAGUUGUUGCAGUUAAAAAGCUCGUAGUUGAAUUUCGGGGUCAGUAGGUCGGUCGUGCCACUGGUAUGAACUGGUUUUAUUGAUUCCUCCCUCUUGAAGAACUGUAAUGCCACUAAUUUGGUGUUGCAGGGAAUCAGGACUGUUACUUUGAAAAAAUUAGAGUGUUUAAAGCAGGCUUUAGCUUGAAUACAUUAGCAUGGAAUAAUGAAAUAGGACGUUUGAUCCUAUUUUGUUGGUUUCUAGGAUUGACGUAAUGAUUAAUAGGGAUAGUUGGGGGCAUUAGUAUUCAAUUGUCAGAGGUGAAAUUCUUGGAUUUAUUGAAGACUAACUACUGCGAAAGCAUUUGCCAAGGAUGUUUUCAUUAAUCAAGAACGAAAGUUAGGGGAUCGAAGACGAUCAGAUACC